RNAcentral lists this ribosomal RNA (301 nucleotides) under uncultured bacterium. RNAcentral's name for it is "partial 16S ribosomal RNA". It matches the Rfam family "Bacterial small subunit ribosomal RNA", at positions 509 to 807 of the family's 1533-position model. The record is from RNAcentral.
CAGCCGCCACGGUAAUACGGAGGGUGCAAGCGUUAAUCGGAAUUACUGGGCGUAAAGCGUGCGUAGGCGGUUUGUUAAGUCUGCUGUGAAAUCCCCGGGCUCAACCUGGGAAUGGCAGUGGAUACUGGCAAGCUAGAGUGUGUCAGAGGAUGGUGGAAUUCCCGGUGUAGCGGUGAAAUGCGUAGAGAUCGGGAGGAACAUCAGUGGCGAAGGCGGCCAUCUGGGACAACACUGACGCUGAGGCACGAAAGCGUGGGGAGCAAACAGGAUUAGAUACCCCCGUAGUCCCUGUCUCUUAUAC